GACGAACGCUGGCGGCGUGCCUAAUACAUGCAAGUCGUGCGGACCUUUUAAAAGCUUGCUUUUAAAAGGUUAGCGGCGGACGGGUGAGUAACACGUGGGCAACCUGCCUGUAAGACUGGGAUAACGCCGGGAAACCGGGGCUAAUACCAGAUCGUUUUUUCCUCCGCAUGGAGGAAAAAGGAAAGGCGGCUUCGGCUGCCACUUACAGAUGGGCCCGCGGCGCAUUAGCUAGUUGGCGGGGUAACGGCCCACCAAGGCAACGAUGCGUAGCCGACCUGAGAGGGUGAUCGGCCACAUUGGGACUGAGACACGGCCCAAACUCCUACGGGAGGCAGCAGUAGGGAAUCUUCCGCAAUGGACGAAAGUCUGACGGAGCAACGCCGCGUGAGUGAAGAAGGCCUUCGGGUCGUAAAACUCUGUUGCCGGGGAAGAACAAGUGCCGUUCGAACAGGGCGGCGCCUUGACGGUACCCGGCCAGAAAGCCACGGCUAACUACGUG
RNAcentral lists this ribosomal RNA (499 nucleotides) under uncultured bacterium. Its description in RNAcentral is "partial 16S ribosomal RNA". It matches the Rfam family "Bacterial small subunit ribosomal RNA", at positions 28 to 507 of the family's 1533-position model. The record is from RNAcentral.